Molecule: small nuclear RNA, 119 nt
Organism: Pteropus vampyrus (large flying fox)
Lineage: Eukaryota; Metazoa; Chordata; Mammalia; Chiroptera; Pteropodidae
Gene: U4
Rfam family: U4 spliceosomal RNA
About the family: U4 small nuclear RNA (U4 snRNA) is a component of the major U2-dependent spliceosome. The structure of U4 snRNA from yeast and human has been reported.
Source: Ensembl
AGCUUUGCGCAGCGGCAGUUUAGUAGCCAAUGAAGUUUAUCUGAGGCACGAUUAUUGCUAAUUAAAUAGGAGAUUGAUUCCUUCAGAUUCAUUGCUGAACUACAUUUUGCUUUAAAAAA